Molecule: long non-coding RNA, 1256 nt
Filed under: Sus scrofa (pig)
Lineage: Eukaryota; Metazoa; Chordata; Mammalia; Artiodactyla; Suidae
Description: lncRNA (ENSSSCG00065008844.1)
Source: RNAcentral
GAGAAUUGAAGUAUCAGGAAUAAAUUGCACAUUUUUGAUCUGCAAAAAAGUCUCUAAUAUGCUAUUUUCAAUCCCUUGAUUCUGUUUAGUAUCAUUUACAUUCGGUUUCUGUCCAUCUCUAAUGAGCUUAAACAGUGUGCACUCAGAGCCCAGGAGGGUCACUCAUUGAAGUCAGUGUCCAAGUCAUCCAAUAUUGCCUCUCCAGUGCUGUCAAUGUGUUAAUGUAUCUGAAUGUGCUGUACAUGGAUAAGCUAUCUUUUUACAGUAAACGAGGAUAUUAAUAGAGAUGCUAUAAACAUGAUAUUUAUCUGAUAGUACAUAACUUGUUUUGAUUCUACUGACAAGGAGAAAUGGAGAAGUCCACUAUCUUGUGAAGGAAGAAAUAUGGGGGCAUAUUCCUAAUGGAAGAGUGACAAAGGAUUAUUCUGAAAAGCGCAGGUUUUCAAGCAUAUUUAGUCUUAAAAAAGUGAAGUCAUGGAAUAACAAAAAAUUAGGGUGACGGGAUAAGGAUAAUCAAAACUCUCUGUCCCUAGGUUCCAUUCGGAGCUGGAAAAAUGGGGCCACUGCUUACAUGGUGAUGUCCUCAGUGGGUGCAAAGAAAAUAUAGACAUGGUCAACUCUUGUCCCACAUCUGUGCUCUGUGUGAAGGGCUCUGGAGUCAGCUUAUGCACAUUACAGUGGCAGCCAUGAUACGGAUGGAUUUCAGGGAGGUGUAUAUGAGUCCUCUCCAGAAAUACCCAUAAACAAAGAGGGAAAUGAGUGUGGAUUUGUUGCUGUUAGGAGACUGAGUUACUGCAUCAUGAAUUGUUGGAUGUGUAAGACAAUCUUUGCUUGGAGGAUGCUGGACAUAAUGAGGACUUUAUAAAUGAAGAAACCCAGCUUUAGCCUCAAAUCUGUCUUCCUUUCCAACCAGGAGGUAAUAUUUGUUCAAAAUACCUUAUAUAUGUUUAGGUCAGUCAGGAUCUAACUCAUAUGCUUGGUGUAUGGGUCUUUCAAUGAGUAUCUGUUGACUAAAUGAAGUUAGGGCAGAACUACCUAUGUGGAUAGUGGAAGCUCUGUCUCAGGUCCAAACAAUAAUAACAUUGCUUUCUAAUUGGAGAGGCCACAAAGGAAAAGUGCUAUCAUUUUGACAAAACAAAAAGGAAAUUUUUCUCUACAGUGACAACUAGAGGAAAACAAAUGCAAAGCCUUUAAAAAAUUGGAAGAAAUUAUUUUGUGCAAAUAAAAUAUUUUAAACAUUGAUGGUCUUAAUAUUU